UACGUAGGGGGCAAGCGUUGUCCGGAAUCAUUGGGCGUAAAGAGCGCGUAGGCGGCCCGAUAAGUCCGCUGUGAAAGUCAAGGGCUUAACCCUUGAAUGCCGGUGGAAACUGUCGGGCUAGAGUCCGGAAGAGGCGAGUGGAAUUCCUGGUGUAGCGGUGAAAUGCGCAGAUAUCAGGAGGAACACCGAUGGCGAAGGCAGGUCUCUGGGCCACUACUGACGCUGAGAAGCGAAAGCAUGGGGAGCGAACAGG
This 253-nucleotide ribosomal RNA is filed under the name uncultured bacterium. Its description in RNAcentral is "partial 16S ribosomal RNA". It matches the Rfam family "Bacterial small subunit ribosomal RNA", at positions 524 to 776 of the family's 1533-position model. The record is from RNAcentral.